This 904-nucleotide long non-coding RNA is filed under the name Homo sapiens (human). Its description in RNAcentral is "HSALNT0187059". Lineage: Eukaryota; Metazoa; Chordata; Mammalia; Primates; Hominidae. The record is from RNAcentral.
UCUUCAUGGGGCAUCCAAGACAAACACAGGUCCUGGUCAUGCUCAGCCUCUAGCUCCAACAUACCCUGGUAAAGAUGAUGAUGGAAGCAAAGCAGAACAAAAGAAAAGCAUCCAAGACAUGUUCUGCUAUUUCAAGUCUCUGCAUGCAAAAAUCGACAAUGAUUUAUCCUUGAACACUUCUUUAGUAACUCUUUAUGAAAUAUUUCUUCUGUCCUUUGAAGAAGUUUGAUCUGAAUUUCCUGUGUUUCACAGAACUAUUUUUAAACUGGAAGGAGAAAAGUUUGGAGGAGGGAGAAUAGAUCAGUUUCUUUUUUAAAUGUCUGCGUAAACUACUGGCCAAGUCAAUAGAAAUAACUAACAUUCAUGUAACUCUUUACAAAUUAGUUUCAUGUGCAUUAUUUAUUUUCAUUCUCACAUGGCCAUUUGUAUUUAGUGACUUGCCCAAGGUCAUAGAGUAUAGAGAGUUAAGUGGUGGUCCCAAACAAGGAAUGCCUAUGUCCUAAUACAGAACUAGGACCCCAUGCAUAUUAUCUUAUUUGGAAAAAGAGUCUUUGCAGAUGAAACUAAGAAUCUUGAUAUAAGAUCGUCUCAGAUUACUUGAAUGGGUUCCUAAAUCCAAUGACAAACAUCCUAAUGAGAGACAGAGGAGGAGAAGACAGACAAAGAGAAGACCAUGUGAGGAUGAAGACAAGAGACCAGGAGUUAUGUAGCUACAAGCCACUGAAGGCCUGGAGUCCCAGAAGCCUGAAGAAGGAUUCUCUCCUGGAGGCUGCAUUAGGGGUGAAUAGCUGAAUUCUACUGGAAGAUAAUCUGUGAGGAGGGGGUAUGGUCAUAUGGUGAUUUGGUCAUAUGGUGAUUUGCUCGAAGGCUAGUAAGUCCUUCAUGUGGUAACAGCAGCAUCCAG